CUUGUUCCUACAUGACCUGAUCAAUUCGAUCAGGCACUCGCCAUCUAUUUUCAUAGUUCAACUCUUUGACAACACGAAAAAACCAUUGUUCAACUCUUUGACAACAUGAAAAAACCAAAAAUUCUGCCCUUCUAUCCAAAGGAUGGAGGGGCGGAGGCCUUUGGUGUCCACUCCAGUCAAGAAUUGGAGCCUCACAAUCACUAGCCAAUAUGCUUUUCUCGCAUGCCUUUCUUCGUUCAUGGUUCGA
Molecule: unclassified non-coding RNA, 247 nt
Filed under: Brassica napus (rape)
Lineage: Eukaryota; Viridiplantae; Streptophyta; Magnoliopsida; Brassicales; Brassicaceae
Description: intergenic transcribed sequence
Source: RNAcentral